Molecule: ribosomal RNA, 406 nt
Filed under: uncultured bacterium
Lineage: Bacteria
Description: partial 16S ribosomal RNA
Rfam family: Bacterial small subunit ribosomal RNA
Source: RNAcentral
AUUGAACGCUGGCGGCAGGCUUAACACAUGCAAGUCGAGCGAGCGGCGGACGGGUGAGUAAUGUCUGGGAAACUGCCUGAUGGAGGGGGAUAACUACUGGAAACGGUAGCUAAUACCGCAUACCAUCAGAUGUGCCCAGAUGGGAUUAGCUAGUAGGUGGGGUAAUGGCUCACCUGGGCGAAGAUCCCUAGCUGGUCGGAGAGGAUGACCGGCCACACGGGAACUGGGACACGGUCCAGACUCCUACGGGAGGCAGCGGUGGGGAAUAUUGCAAAAUGGGCGCAAGCCUGAUGCAGCCAGGCCGCGUGUGUGAAGAGGGCCUUCGGUUUGUAAAGCACGUUCAGCGAGGAGGCGUUACUCGCAGAAGAAGCACCGGCUAACUCCGUGCCAGCAGCCGCGGUAAUUC